This 2391-nucleotide long non-coding RNA is filed under the name Linum usitatissimum (flax). RNAcentral describes it as "long non-coding RNA (LUSI_LNC003288)". The record is from RNAcentral. Lineage: Eukaryota; Viridiplantae; Streptophyta; Magnoliopsida; Malpighiales; Linaceae.
AGGCGGCCACUUUGAGCCUGUUCCCUGACACACUUUGGAGUCCUUUGACGUAGCUGGCAGCGUACUUUCCGGCGAGGUAUGGGUCCUCUCCGGGAGUCUCUUGGCCUCUCCCCCACCGUGGGUCCCUGAAUAUGUUCACGUUCGGGCUCCAAAAUGUCAGCCCUGCCGCCCCUCCGUUGUACAUCGCCCUCGCCUCGUCCGACACCACCUGCGUCACUCAAGUAUCCGGAUUAAUUAGUAACCUUUUCCAAUAUCAAACUAUAUAUAAUAUACUAAUUUUUGUGCUUUAUAAAAUUGAUUGAUUAUGUUGGACCUUAUCCGAUUCGACGAAUUAGACUUAGACAUCAAGUGUGUUUAACAACUAAAUUGACAAAAAAAAGUCGAUGACUGAUGGUUACAUGAACGGAUGAAGGUAAUCAACGCAAGCAACUUCAAUUCAAAUGUGUCCAUUUCUUUGUAACCAUGCAAGAAAAAUCAAAAGGUUAAGGUGGAAAAUAUAAUAAAAUUAAAAAAUUAAAAGUAAUCCCCGGCCCCGGGUAUCUUUUCGGUUGGAAAAGUUUAGGGAAUUGGGUAAUUGUCAUGAGAGUUGUAUGUGGGCCCAAUGGACUGGAUCCGUAACACAAUUGGGCACGUAAAUGGUUCAAGGGUGGUUAGCAAUCAACAAUCUAAUUUAGUACAUUUAGAUUGAUUAAACACAAUUCUCUAUGGUACAAUCACAUCAUUAACGCCGAUUAAUUAGUUUCUGAAACAAACUAGAAAAAGCUACAAUUCUGUGAUGCAAUCCUAGCUAGAUCAAUUACUGCCCUUAAUUACUGAUUUGGACUCACAAACUAAUUGGUUGUUGGGCCGGUGAAAACUAUAGUAAAAGAUAUAUAAGUGUACGACAUCAGCAGUAAUAAAAAAGAACAAGACAGUAACUUUUAAGGUAGUAUANNNNNNNUCCCCCCCCCCCCAUGCCGAUGAUGCCACCCAAAAACUUAACCCACACACUCACCCAUCAUUAUACCCAUCCGUGACUCAAACUCAAAACCGAAAUUCAAAAGUUAAUAUUUAUACGUACCCGGCCGAUUUGCUCCCAAAGGGUGGAGUUGAAGGAAGCGGCGGGGGGGGGGGGAAGAGGGGAGCGGGAGGGAGGGGGGGGGGGGAACCGGCAACAUGACAGCAGNNNNNNNNNNNNNNNNNNNNNNNNNNNNNNNNNNNNAGAGCCUCCGACCACCACUCGUAGCCUUGAAUCCCGAGCCUGGGAACCGCCGCAGCAUUGUUGACAAGCAGCCUGAUCUUCUCCUGCAAUGUCAGCCGUCCGAUCAAGUCCCUCACCCUGAUGUGCAACGGCACCCGAACCCUGCAGAACUUCAGGCUCCGGGUUCCGGGGCUACGAGGGUCGCAGGCGAACGGCACCCUAGACUCCGACGAAUGAAUGAGGAGGAAGAAGAACAGGAAGAGGAAGGGUAGUGUCGUUUUGGUCUGAGCCAUUGUGUUGUAGUGUCGUUUUUGGGUUUGUGGGUAGUGAUAGUGUGGGAGAGUAUUUAUAGGGAGUGGGAGGAGAGGAGAAAUGGAGAUGAAUAUAAGGUUGCGUUUGGAUUGGCGAUGGAGGAAAAGUCAUGUUUGUUUUGAUGAUUGGGUUUCCACGUCAAUAUUGUUAGCCCAUCAAAAAGCUUCACACUAGAUAAGUGACUAUGUUUUUAGAUUGGUCAGUAGAGCACGCAUUUCGCACUUAUUUUUUAUAAAAAACAAAAUUCAGAAACUAAAAUUAAAAAUAAGAAUUGCCCAUAACCAAGCACGAUUUUGAACACUAUCAAAUCAUAUAUUUCUGAUUCAUUAUGUCUUCUACAGAUAGUAGUUUGGAAUACAAUAAGGUGGUAACGAAUUUUGAUAUAAUUUUUAAAAAAAACUUCUCCUAAUAAUUUGAAUUAUUAAAAUUUAAUAUAUAGUGCAUUUUCUAGCGAGCGACCAGGACCUACGGACUUAAGGAGUAGUGAUAGUGGAUAAAAAAUGGGGUCACGGACCACUGAGAAUCUGUUUCCAGUCAGCUGGUGGAAAUAUUGAGAUCUAAAUAAUUAUUGGUAUGGUAUUUAUUUUACUUAUUUUUUGGCUUCACGUUCCACCCACUCUGAAAUGAAUUUGUACAUAUGCACAUUUCAAGUAUUCUCUCCUAGUUGUUAGCUAGGCCCAUUAAACAACGAGGCAUCCGGCAUCCCCCUAAGAAAACAGCGACCAUGCUGUGUUAGCUUUUUGUUUUCUAUCCAAUCCAUAAUUCUUUUUUAUCGUUGUGUGUUCAAAUCUUUAAACGAUCAUAUACUCGACUUUUCAUGAUUCCAAUAUUAAAAGUUGGUUUAAACACAAUGUAUGAUGGACAUGUGCAAACUUCAACUUCAUGAGUUGAUUUUCGUU